CUGCAGUGGAAGAACAUUGUUCAUCUGAUGUGUGUCUGACUUUAAUAACUCCAAAGACAUGUUGCUUUACCUCUUUUUGUUUUCAUCUCACUUCAUAGGUGAGUUUAUGAACACAUGAAUUUCUCUUUAACCUGCUGUGUUCAUGUUCACAGUUGAAAUCACUCAAUAUUCUGUCUUUGUCAUCAAGUUGUGUACAAUCUAGUUGUGAUCUGAGCUCCAGUUGAGCUGUUUGUGUCCACAGAGUAACACUGUACAGGUGACAUUUUCCACUGUCUUCUCCUCUCAGCCUCAUGGACAAUGUGAGUCUGAUGGCUUCAUUUUCUCUACUUUUUCCAGGACUAAAAGCUGAAGACACAAUCUCUCCUGUACAAGAUGAAAUCAGUGGAACAGAAGGAGAAUCUGUCACACUCAGGUGUAGCUAUCAGACAGACAGCAAUUAUCCUGAACUUUACUGGUACAAACAUCAUUCUGACCUUCAGGCUCCUCAGUUUAUUCUCUGGAAAGGAGGAAAAUCACAAAGAGGUGAAUAUAUUCCUGAUCGUCGAUAUGGAUCCCAAACAACAGCUACAUCAACUACAUUGACCAUCAAUCAGCUAACCCUGGCAGACACAGCUCUCUACUACUGUGCUCUAGAGACACAGUGAUACAAAGUGUAGCAGAGGCUGUACAAAAACCUGAACACAGAUAUGAGACUCCUCUUCAAAGAGGAGGGAAGUGGUAUUGAGAGCACAGCUUCAUAUCAGAUGGAUUGAGGUAAAUUCCUGUUUUCUCACAGUCACUGUGGUUACAGCUGCUGAUGAAACACUGUGGGAGGAUUGACAGGAGCAGCAGAUCAGUGAUGCCUCCAGAAGAGAUACUGCAGAGGAUUUGAGGGGAAAAUUUCACUCACAUGAAAAUCGUUUAUUAAUUAUUUCAACACUGAAAAUUUUGUCCAUGAUGAUCAUUUUUCAAACUACAGCAACAAAUAAAAUGCAUUGUAGUCGUUA
This is a long non-coding RNA of Acanthochromis polyacanthus (spiny chromis), 986 nucleotides long. RefSeq lists it as uncharacterized. Lineage: Eukaryota; Metazoa; Chordata; Actinopteri; Pomacentridae. The record is from RefSeq and is a predicted model, not a curated record. The transcript is spliced from 2 exons.